GCCCUUGAGUUUGAUCCUGGCUCAGAACUAACGCUGGCGGCGUGCCUAACACAUGCAAGUCGUACGAGAAAGUUGGCUUCGGCCGAUGAGUAAAGUGGCGCACGGGUGAGUAACGCGUGGAUAAUCUACCCCUCAGUUGGGAAUAACUCAUCGAAAGGUGGGCUAAUACCGAAUAAUACUGCAUGACUUCUGUUGUGUAGUCAAAGAUGGCCUCUGCUUGCAUGCUAUUGCUGAAGGAUGAGUCCGCGUACCAUUAGCUAGUUGGUAGGGUAAUGGCCUACCAAGGCAACGAUGGUUAGCUGGUCUGAGAGGAUGAUCAGCCACACUGGAACUGAGACACGGUCCAGACUCCUACGGGAGGCAGCAGUGGGGAAUAUUGCGCAAUGGGGGAAACCCUGACGCAGCAACGCCGCGUGAGUGAGGAAGGUUUUCGGACCGUAAAGCUCUGUCGAGCGGGAAGAAAUGCAUAAUGGCUAAUAUCCAUUAUGCUUGACGGUACCGCUAAAGGAAGCACCGGCUAACUCCGUGCCAGCAGCCGCGGUAAUACGGGGGGUGCUAGCGUUGUUCGGAAUCAUUGGGCGUAAAGAGCGUGUAGGCGGCUGGAUAAGUCAGAUGUGAAAGCCCUGGGCUUAACCUAGGAAGUGCAUUUGAAACUGUUCAGCUUGAGUAGGGGAGAGGAAAGUGGAAUUCCUGGUGUAGAGGUGAAAUUCGUAGAU
Molecule: ribosomal RNA, 716 nt
Filed under: uncultured bacterium
Lineage: Bacteria
Description: bacterial SSU rRNA
Rfam family: Bacterial small subunit ribosomal RNA
Source: RNAcentral